This 113-nucleotide Y RNA is filed under the name Propithecus coquereli (Coquerel's sifaka). RNAcentral's name for it is "Y RNA (ENSPCOG00000003628.1)". It matches the Rfam family "Y RNA". Rfam says of the family: Y RNAs are components of the Ro ribonucleoprotein particle (Ro RNP), in association with Ro60 and La proteins. The Y RNAs and Ro60 and La proteins are well conserved, but the function of the Ro RNP is not known. The record is from Rfam by way of RNAcentral. Lineage: Eukaryota; Metazoa; Chordata; Mammalia; Primates; Indriidae.
GGCUGGUCCUAAGGUAGUGAGUUAUCUCACUUGAUUGUUCACAGUCAGUUACAGAUUGAACUCCUUGUUUUACUACUCCCCCCCUCCUCACUACUGCACUUGACUAGUCUUAA